UACGUAGGGUGCGAGCGUUGUCCGGAAUCACUGGGCGUAAAGGGCGCGUAGGCGGCUCAUGAAGGCUGUGGUGAAAGUCCGGGGCUCAACCUCGGAUCGGCCGUGGCGACUCGUGGGCUGGAGGCACUGUAGAGGCGGGUGGAAUUCCACGUGUAGCAGUGAAAUGCGUAGAGAUGUGGAGGAACACGAUGGCGAAGGGCAGCCCCC
Molecule: ribosomal RNA, 207 nt
Filed under: uncultured bacterium
Lineage: Bacteria
Description: partial 16S ribosomal RNA
Rfam family: Bacterial small subunit ribosomal RNA
Source: RNAcentral